Drosophila miranda is the source of this 239-nucleotide long non-coding RNA. RefSeq lists it as uncharacterized. NCBI's taxonomy places the organism in Eukaryota, Metazoa, Arthropoda, Insecta, Diptera, Drosophilidae. The record is from RefSeq and is a predicted model, not a curated record. The transcript is spliced from 2 exons.
ACGAAUCCAAAGGACAAACAGUCCAAACAGUCAAACAAAAAACCACGGAACAUGGGCAAACACAGAACUGCGCAGCAAGAUGCCAUAUUCAUCGCAUUUAUGGAGAGACACCCAAUGAUAGCCAAAAACUACCUCAAGGGUGAUAAGCUGGCAGCUGAAGCCGCCUGGAAGCGGCUUUCAAAGGAGUUAAAUAGCGUGGGUCCGCCUGUCAAAGAAGUUUGUGAGUGGAAAAGAGUAUG